RNAcentral lists this long non-coding RNA (1983 nucleotides) under Homo sapiens (human). RNAcentral's name for it is "HSALNT0339337". Lineage: Eukaryota; Metazoa; Chordata; Mammalia; Primates; Hominidae. The record is from RNAcentral.
CAAAACAAAGCAAAAAAAAAAGGAUAAUGACAAUCAGUUUUAAUUUUCAGGACUGUUUUUCUAUAUUUAAAUCCGAAAGCGAUAGAGUUAAAAAUGACGUCUCUUAUCCACUCCUAAAGCCUGCUGAUGUUUCUCUAGAUAUGUACUGUGUAAGGAAAAAUGAAGAGCAAAGUAAGAAGUCAAAGCAAGUCCUGUGUUCAAAUCCUAGCAUACCUACUAUCUGAAUUUGUCGUCAUCGAACAAUUGCAAUUCAAUACUGGGAGGACUUCCAGAAGGAUUUCAUCAAAUAACAAGCGUGUUAUUCAGAGAUCCAUAAUGAUAUGUUCAGACCCAAGUACAGACACUUCUUUGGAAUGAUUAUAGCAGAAGAGAAAUUCAAAACAAACAGCUCCGUACCUGAAAAGGUACAACAAGGAGGGAUGAAGAAAGAUCACUGACCAGAAAUAAAAUUGGGAGUUUAGACAAUUAAAUUAUCUGGACAUUUUAAUUCCUGAACUACGACUAGGCUACAACAUGCGGACUGCUGUAGAUGUCACCCAGGAACAGAAAAUAACUAGCCUCGUGAGAAAGUUUUGAAUGGGCAAAAGGGAAAUUGAAUACAAUUGUUUUUUGCUUGCACCAUAUAGAGGCGUAUUCUUUCUAUGUACAGUGAUAGGAAACUGGUGGUGUUUGACAUCAUCCAAAAACAGGGCCCAUUUUUUGAAUCAUAAAUUAUCUUCAUGAACACACCCAUUGCCUUCAACAUACAGCCUAAGUCUCAUACUUUCUAAAAUAUCUCCGGUACCUGCUCCAGUUCUCAGUGAUCACCAAUUCCUUUGUCCUCCAAUAACAUAAAUUUCUUUUCUACCUUGUACUUAGAAUUCUGUUCAAACUAUCUUGUUGUAUUCAAAAUAAUUUUAACGAGCUAUAGUUGACAUAACAUAUUUAGUUAUCUAUCUAUGUAUCUGUCAUCUAUCAAUCAUCUGAUGAGAAUUUAUCAUUACACUCAAGAUAAUGAGCUCAGACAUGAUUCCCAAAUAUUUUCUCAUCAGGCUUUGUAAUUCUUCCCUCUCAACACUCCCCAGCAUCCCCCAAACCCAAUAAACCACUAAUCUGCUUUCAGUCACUAUAGAUUCAUUUAUAUUUUCUGAAAUUUUAUAUACAAUGGAAUCAUUCACUAUGAACUCUUUUUCAUCUGACGUCUUAUAUUCAGCAUAAUUAUUUUCAUAUGUUUCCGUGUUGCAGAGUAUAAUUUCGUUACAUAGAUAUUCUAUCUUAUUUAUCAAUUUACAUUUUUGUAAAGAUUGUGAAAUAAAAAUAAAAUCCUAAGCCCUGCAACUGACUGAGCAGACACCUGUUGCCCAAGAAGACUCCAGAAAAACUUUGAAAAAUUGAGUUUCCUGGUCAUGACAAGGUGGGAGGUUGAGUACCUCUUGGUGUACCUCAUUCCUUGCCAAUCUUUACUAGAUUAUUUUCUAAGGGUUAAACAGAAACUGGCCCUGGAAAAAUAAAGAAAUGAAAACUCACUCCUUUGCUGAUUUCAGCCAACUGCUGGACACUGCAGCUGGAAUCCUCUCCCUUCUUGUAGUUUCUACACAGCAGCUCACCAGUUUCAUAGCACAUUCCUUUCUGAUUUUUUACUACCAGCCAUGGACUGGUUCUGGCCAGAUACAGAGGCUGCCCACAAGAUGUCUGUCAUCUUUUAAUGUAUACAGCCUAAUUUUAAUACAUUUAAAUGUUAAUUCUCCAUCCUAAAGUGAACAUGUGACAUAUGUAAUAUGUAUGUUUGCUUACUAGCAUAUGUGUGUCCCUUGUGAAUAUUCAUAACUCUUUUUAUAACUUGUUGAUAUGUAUACUUAGCCAUCCUGUCCAGUAUAAAUUCCUGUCUCAUCCUUCUUCCAUUGAAGUACCUGCUUUUGAUUUCUGCUGGAGGCUAUGCUUCCCAGUCUGCAGGGUGGCCAGCCUGCAGGCGGAAACCCUUUAUAAGAAACAAAGCUCUCCUCU